This is a non-coding RNA of Podarcis lilfordi (Lilford's wall lizard), 69 nucleotides long. Lineage: Eukaryota; Metazoa; Chordata; Lepidosauria; Squamata; Lacertidae. The record is from the annotation of a GenBank genome assembly.
GCCUUAGCUUAGUGGUAGAGCUUCUGCUUUGAAUGCAGAAGUUCCCAGGUUCAGUCCCAGGCAUUGCCA